RNAcentral lists this non-coding RNA (31 nucleotides) under Mus musculus (house mouse). The record is from RNAcentral. Lineage: Eukaryota; Metazoa; Chordata; Mammalia; Rodentia; Muridae.
UCCAGGCAAGUUUUAGGGUGACCUUGUCUUU